Non-coding RNA from Prunus avium (sweet cherry), 276 nucleotides. The record is from RefSeq and is a predicted model, not a curated record. Lineage: Eukaryota; Viridiplantae; Streptophyta; Magnoliopsida; Rosales; Rosaceae.
UGAAGAUUACAGAGCCGAACUCACAAGAAAUCUGAGUGAGCCCGAUGUCAACUAUUCUGAGGUGCAUAAACUCGCAAUCUGGUUUAAAGGUAGUACCACAAGUAAUGCCUGUGGCCGGGUUGCCCUUGCCUGUCAAGAGCUCAUUGAUGCAAGUGAAGCACAGAACAAAGAAGGGUGCCUUGUGGCUCUUGACAAUGUCAACCGUGAAUAUCUCGUCGCCAAAGAGAAUUUGAAUCGCAUUAUUGGGGUAACAUUUAUUUUGAAUCUUUAAUUCCU